GAUGCAGCCAUGCCGCGUGUGUGAAGAAGGCCUUCGGGUUGUAAAGCACUUUCAGCGAGGAGGAAGGGUUCAGUGUUAAUAGCACUGUGCAUUGACGUUACUCGCAGAAGAAGCACCGGCUAACUCCGUGCCAGCAGCCGCGGUAAU
RNAcentral lists this ribosomal RNA (147 nucleotides) under uncultured Pseudomonas sp. RNAcentral describes it as "partial 16S ribosomal RNA". It matches the Rfam family "Bacterial small subunit ribosomal RNA", at positions 385 to 524 of the family's 1533-position model. Lineage: Bacteria; Pseudomonadati; Pseudomonadota; Gammaproteobacteria; Pseudomonadales; Pseudomonadaceae. The record is from RNAcentral.